GGGUGGUCUCGGGUGAUGCACCCCAAAUCGGGCUCCCUCCUCUCUGGUUCUGGGUGCAUCACCCGAGAACCU
Myotis brandtii (Brandt's bat) is the source of this 72-nucleotide non-coding RNA. The record is from Rfam. NCBI's taxonomy places the organism in Eukaryota, Metazoa, Chordata, Mammalia, Chiroptera, Vespertilionidae.